AGUGAACGCUGGCGGUAGGCCUAACACAUGCAAGUCGAACGGCAGCACAGUAAGCGCUUGCUCUUACGGGUGGCGAGUGGCGGACGGGUGAGGAAUACAUCGGAAUCUACUUUUUCGUGGGGGAUAACGUAGGGAAACUUACGCUACUACCGCAUACGACCUACGGGUGAAAGCAGGGGAUCUUCGGACCUUGCGCGAUUGAUUGAGCCGAUGUCGGAUUAGCUAGUUGGCGGGGUAAAGGCCCACCAAGGCGACGAUCCGUAGCUGAUCUGAGAGGAUGAUCGGCCACACUGGAACUGAGACACGGUCCAGACUCCUACGGGAGGCAGCAGUGGGGAAUAUUGGACAAUGGGCGCAGGCCUGAUCCAGCCAUACCGCGUGGGUGAAGAAGGCCUUCGGGUUGUAAAGCCCUUUUGUUGGGAAAGAAAAGCAGCAGGUUAAUACCCGGCUGUUCUGACGGUACCCAAAGAAUAAGCACCGGCUAACUUCGUG
RNAcentral lists this ribosomal RNA (492 nucleotides) under uncultured bacterium. Its description in RNAcentral is "partial 16S ribosomal RNA". It matches the Rfam family "Bacterial small subunit ribosomal RNA", at positions 29 to 507 of the family's 1533-position model. The record is from RNAcentral.